GGAUCCUGGGGACAGAUCCUGCAGGAGGUGCUCCUGGGUGGGGUGUUGUUGGCAUAGGACAGUUCUAAUGUGUGUGUGCUGCAAGAGGGUAUCUCCCCAAGGAUGGUGCUGCGCAGAACUAUUAGGUUACUCCAUCACCUCUGUGCUUGUUAAAUAAGAGGAAAAAUCUGUGGGCAUGCAGUGAAGGUCAAUCUUGUGGUUUCUGAAAACAUUUAAUUAGUACAGUUAAGUGCUGAGGUCUGCCUGGGAGUGCGCUGCUGCAUCAACAGCUCUGAGCAGGGAGAAGGAAUCCUACAUCAGGAGUGCAGGAGGAGCUGCAUCACUGUGCCCAAGCUCAAGGUGUGGCUCAGCUUAUGGGAAACCUGCUGCAGUGUCCCUUAAUUGGCCUUAACUUACUGAUGCUAUGAUUUUACAUCACA
Coturnix japonica (Japanese quail) is the source of this 419-nucleotide non-coding RNA. The record is from RefSeq and is a predicted model, not a curated record. NCBI's taxonomy places the organism in Eukaryota, Metazoa, Chordata, Aves, Galliformes, Phasianidae.